GGAAUAUUGGUCAAUGGACGCAAGUCUGAACCAGCCAUGCCGCGUGAAGGACGAAGGCCUUCUGGGUUGUAAACUUCUUUUAUUGGGGAAGAAAAUUAUGGUUUCUACUAUAACCGACGGUACCCAAGGAAUCAGCACCGGCUAACUCCGUGCCAGCAGCCGCGGUAAUACGGAGGGUGCAAGCGUUAUCCGGAUUCACUGGGUUUAAAGGGUGUGUAGGCGGGUAUUUAAGUCAGUGGUGAAACCUCCAGGCUCAACCUGGAAACUGCCAUUGAUACUAUUUAUCUUGAAUUCUGUUGAGGUGGGCGGAAUAUAUCAUGUAGCGGUGAAAUGCUUAGAGAUGAUAUAGAACACCGAUAGCGAAGGCAGCUCGCUAAACAGAUAUUGACGCUGAGGCACGAAAGCGUGGGGAUCAAA
This 417-nucleotide ribosomal RNA is filed under the name uncultured bacterium. RNAcentral describes it as "bacterial SSU rRNA". It matches the Rfam family "Bacterial small subunit ribosomal RNA", at positions 358 to 772 of the family's 1533-position model. The record is from RNAcentral.